AUGAUGUUUAAUUGCAGUGCUUGUUUCCUAGAGGACAAGAAAAGCAGCAGGACAACAGAGUCAGCCUUUGAGCAUCUGCUGUUGCCUACAGUUCUGUGGCGGGCUCCGGUCAGCUGGAAGGUGUUGCUGCCGUUUUCCUCAUCUUUCCAAGCUUUCCAGAUUUUGAUUUUCGUAAGUGUCUUAAGGAAAAUGAAACUUCUUUAAGAUUCUUGCAUUGUUCUGAUGUCUGAAUGUCAGUGUGUUUCACUUUUCAAAUAUAAAGCAUACGAGUCUUGGUUCAGGAAGAAAUGACGUGGUUGUGCAUGCAGCUGUUAGUAUAAAAAGUUAUUGCGGGGGAGUAAUUGCAUAAACAAAGUGGCAAAUGGGCUACAAUGGAGUUAAUACUGAGUAGGGAUUUUUGUAGCCAGGGAGGGCAAUGCUGCUCAUUUUGAGCUAACCCAUACUUAGCUGUUUCAGUUACUGAUAACUGAUCUGGGAUUGUUGUCUCCAUUUUUGACUCAUGAAAUCUUAUUUUGCAUAACACAAAUGCAGAGUGAUGAGUGCAUGUGCUUAAAUUCUUGAGAAAACCACUAAGGAGGCCCCAUUCUCUACUAAUGGAAGUCCUGCUGCUAUUCUUACUCAGCUAGGCUUGACGGAGAGCUGCACUGUAAGUGCUCCCAUUAGCAUCAUGUAGGGGAAAGCAUUUCAGCUAAUGUGCUGUGCUUAUUUCCUCCCAGUGCCCUCCUCUCUUCUUGGCUUGCUCUCCCCCUUCCCCUCCUGGUACAACAGGGGAGGCUGUAGAGAUUAUAUUGCUCAUUGCUAAGUGCUCUGCCCAGUCCUUGGUCUCUGUAGCAUGUUGGUUAUUUUGUCCUGGGGCUGGCAUGAACAGAAUACAAAAUAGGCUUAUUCUAUUAGUUCAUUAAGUUUAUCAGAUUCUCUGAGGCUCCUUAAGUGACAGGGAGCAGCAACACAAAUAUCACAUUUCGCAUGUUUUUGAAUUUUAGGUACAAG
RNAcentral lists this long non-coding RNA (990 nucleotides) under Meleagris gallopavo (turkey). RNAcentral's name for it is "lncRNA (ENSMGAG00000021230.1)". Lineage: Eukaryota; Metazoa; Chordata; Aves; Galliformes; Phasianidae. The record is from RNAcentral.